UGGGGAAUUUUGGACAAUGGGCGCAAGCCUGGUCCAGCCAUGCCGCGUGCAGGAUGAAGGCCUUCGGGUUGUAAACUGCUUUUGUACGGAACGAAAAGACUCCUUCUAAUAAAGGGGGUCCAUGACGGUACCGUAAGAAUAAGCACCGGCUAACUACGUGCCAGCAGCCGCGGUAAUACGUAGGGUGCGGGCGUUAAUCGGAAUUACUGGGCGUAAAGCGUGCGCAGGCGGUUUUGUAAGACAGAGGUGAAAUCCCCGGGCUCAACCUGGGAAUUGCCUUUGUGACUGCAAGGCUUGAGUACGGCAGAGGGGGAUGGAAUUCCGCGUGUAGCAGUGAAAUGCGUAGAUAUGCGGAGGAACACCGAUGGCGAAGGCAAUCCCCUGGGCCUGCACUGACGCUCAUGCACGAAAGCGUGGGGAGCAAACA
RNAcentral lists this ribosomal RNA (427 nucleotides) under uncultured bacterium. RNAcentral's name for it is "bacterial SSU rRNA". It matches the Rfam family "Bacterial small subunit ribosomal RNA", at positions 355 to 774 of the family's 1533-position model. The record is from RNAcentral.